GAUGAACGCUGGCGGCGUGCCUAACACAUGCAAGUCGAGCGAUUCUCUUCGGAGAAGAGCGGCGGACGGGCGAGUAACGCGUGGGUAACCUGCCCUGUACACACGGAUAACAUACCGAAAGGUAUGCUAAUACGAGAUAAUAUGCUUUUAUCGCAUGGUAGAAGUAUCAAAGCUUUUGCGGUACAGGAUGGACCCGCGUCUGAUUAGCUAGUUGGUAAGGUAACGGCUUACCAAGGCGACGAUCAGUAGCCGACCUGAGAGGGUGAUCGGCCACAUUGGAACUGAGACACGGUCCAAACUCCUACGGGAGGCAGCAGUGGGGAAUAUUGCACAAUGGGCGAAAGCCUGAUGCAGCAACGCCGCGUGAGCGAUGAAGGCCUUCGGUCGUAAGCUCUGUCUCAGAAGAUAAUGACGGUACUUGUAGGAGGAAGCCCCGGCGUAACUACGUG
Molecule: ribosomal RNA, 449 nt
Filed under: uncultured bacterium
Lineage: Bacteria
Description: bacterial SSU rRNA
Rfam family: Bacterial small subunit ribosomal RNA
Source: RNAcentral